Molecule: ribosomal RNA, 253 nt
Filed under: uncultured bacterium
Lineage: Bacteria
Description: partial 16S ribosomal RNA
Rfam family: Bacterial small subunit ribosomal RNA
Source: RNAcentral
UACAGAGACUGCAAGCGUUAUUCGGAUUCACUGGGCGUAAAGGGUGUGCAGGCGGCAAAAUGUGUGGAGCGUGAAAGCCCGAAGCUCAACUUCGGAACUGCACUCCAAACUAUUUUGCUAGAGCAUUGGAGAGAGUAGCAGAAUUCACGGUGUAGCAGUGAAAUGCGUAGAUAUCGUGAGGAAUACCAGAGGCGAAGGCGGCUACUUGGACAAUUGCUGACGCUCAAACACGAAAGCGUGGGGAGCAAAAGGG